This is a non-coding RNA of Podarcis lilfordi (Lilford's wall lizard), 72 nucleotides long. The record is from the annotation of a GenBank genome assembly. NCBI's taxonomy places the organism in Eukaryota, Metazoa, Chordata, Lepidosauria, Squamata, Lacertidae.
CUUUUCACUCGAAUAAGAAUAAGAAUAAGAACUUAUUCUUAUUCUUAUUCUUAUUCUUAUUCGAGUGAAAAG